This 483-nucleotide ribosomal RNA is filed under the name uncultured bacterium. RNAcentral describes it as "partial 16S ribosomal RNA". It matches the Rfam family "Bacterial small subunit ribosomal RNA", at positions 30 to 507 of the family's 1533-position model. The record is from RNAcentral.
AUUGAACGCUGGCGGCAGGCCUAACACAUGCAAGUCGAGCGGAUGAAGGGAGCUUGCUCCUGGAUUCAGCGGCGGACGGGUGAGUAAUGCCUAGGAAUCUGCCUGGUAGUGGGGGAUAACGUCCGGAAACGGGCGCUAAUACCGCAUACGUCCUGAGGGAGAAAGUGGGGGAUCUUCGGACCUCACGCUAUCAGAUGAGCCUAGGUCGGAUUAGCUAGUUGGUGGGGUAAAGGCCUACCAAGGCGACGAUCCGUAACUGGUCUGAGAGGAUGAUCAGUCACACUGGAACUGAGACACGGUCCAGACUCCGACGGGAGGCAGCAGUGGGGAAUAUUGGACAAUGGGCGAAAGCCUGAUCCAGCCAUGCCGCGUGUGUAAGAAGGUCUUCGGAUUGUAAAGCACUUUAAGUUGGGAGGAAGGGCAGUAAGUUAAUACCUUGCUGUUUUGACGUUACCAACAGAAUAAGCACCGGCUAACUUCGUG